RNAcentral lists this ribosomal RNA (253 nucleotides) under uncultured bacterium. Its description in RNAcentral is "partial 16S ribosomal RNA". It matches the Rfam family "Bacterial small subunit ribosomal RNA", at positions 524 to 776 of the family's 1533-position model. The record is from RNAcentral.
UACGGAGGAUGCAAGUGUUAUCCGGAAUCACUGGGCGUAAAGCGUCUGUAGGUCGUUUAAAAAGUCUACUGUUAAAAAUUGAAGCUUAACUUCAAAGGUGCCGUAGAAACUUUUAAACUUGAGUAUGGUAGGGGUAGAGGGAAUUUCCAGUGGAGCGGUGAAAUGGGUAGAUAUUGGAAAGACCGCCAAUGGCGAAGGCACUCUACUGGGCCAUUACUGACACUGAGAGACGAAAGCUAGGGGAGCAAAUGGG